GAGGAACACCACAAAUGUAUGUUGAAUAAGAGUGACAGAGAUGAACCUGGAGAAAGAAAUUGAGGGAGAGAGACACCAUCCAGCAGGAAUCUGGGCCAUAAACUUAGAGGAAGUGGAACUGGCCAACCUUCCUGGUCCUAAAAACCAGCCACAGGGAACGUGAAGCUCUUCCUGAAUUCCUCAGGCCUCAGAGAAGCUGUUUUCCCAGUGGCUUAAUAAGAACUUGAGCUCUGGAGUUAUACUUGAGUGGCAAGGCAAAGGACAAAUGACCAUGGAGCAGUUAGCCACCAAGGGGCUCAGAGGUUGAGUUAGCAGACAUUUGGCAUUCCUAAAAGGCUCCUUCUGACAAUCCAGUUGCUCAGAUUUUAUCAUCUUUAAAAACAAGUAUUUGCUAAGGUCAACUUUGAAGAAGCGGGAUCUGAACAGAAGAACAUACAAGCUGGAACUGGACUCCCAGAGAUUUCAUUGACAUCUUUAACCAGGAGACAUCCCACAAUAUCUCUGUAAUUACUUACAUAACCCUCUCUCCUACUAAAAUGAAGAAUCUAAAGGGUAGAGAUGAUUUCUUAUUCAUCACACAUAUA
Molecule: long non-coding RNA, 584 nt
Organism: Myotis brandtii (Brandt's bat)
Lineage: Eukaryota; Metazoa; Chordata; Mammalia; Chiroptera; Vespertilionidae
Exons: 6
Source: RefSeq, a predicted model, not a curated record